Molecule: ribosomal RNA, 393 nt
Filed under: uncultured bacterium
Lineage: Bacteria
Description: partial 16S ribosomal RNA
Rfam family: Bacterial small subunit ribosomal RNA
Source: RNAcentral
AUACGGAGGAUCCGAGCGUUAUCCGGAUUUAUUGGGUUUAAAGGGUGCGCAGGCGGGGGAUUAAGUCGGCGGUGAAAUUUUGCAGCUCAACUGUAAAAGGGCCUUCGAAACUGGGUUCCUUGAGUGUAGAUGAAGUAGGCGGAAUUUGUGGGGUAGCGGUGAAAUGCAUAGAUAUCACGAGGAACUCCGAUUGCGCAGGCAGCUUACUAAACUACUACUGACGCUCAGGCACGAAGGCGUGGGGAUCAAACAGGAUUAGAUACCCUGGUAGUCCACGCAGUAAACGAUGAUUACUAGCUGUUUGCGAUACAAUGUAAGCGGCUGAGCGAAAGCGUUAAGUAAUCCACCUGGGGAGUACGUUCGCAAGAAUGAAACUCAAAGGAAUUGACGGGG